GGGCGAGUGGUGGAAUUGGUAGACACGUCAGACUCAAAAUCUGAUGGACAUUAGUCCGUGGGGGUUCAAGUCCCCCCUUGCCCACCA
This 87-nucleotide transfer RNA is filed under the name Candidatus Saccharibacteria bacterium 32-49-10. RNAcentral's name for it is "tRNA-Leu". It matches the Rfam family "tRNA". Rfam says of the family: Transfer RNA (tRNA) molecules are approximately 80 nucleotides in length. Lineage: Bacteria; Candidatus Saccharimonadota. The record is from RNAcentral.